This 240-nucleotide unclassified non-coding RNA is filed under the name soil metagenome. RNAcentral describes it as "partial contains 5.8S ribosomal RNA, internal transcribed spacer 2, and large subunit ribosomal RNA". The record is from RNAcentral.
AACCAUAGAAACCUGCGGAGUACCUGCGGAGGGAUCAUUAUGAAUUUGAACUUGUGUGGCUGUUUCAUUUACAUGAACGCUCGCAAUUCUUUUUCUGUGAACUGUUCUUGAGUUUUUUUUUCUCACAAUUUAUUUUGUGAGAGAGAGACUCGGGUCAUUUUUGUUUUCUUGAUUUUUUAUUCCAUAUUUUUUUUUGAGUAGUUCUUGCAAAAGAAUGAAAAAAAAUAAUAAACCAAGACA